This 300-nucleotide ribosomal RNA is filed under the name uncultured Staphylothermus sp. RNAcentral's name for it is "bacterial SSU rRNA". The stretch from base 51 to 300 matches the Rfam family "Bacterial small subunit ribosomal RNA", at positions 547 to 795 of the family's 1533-position model. The record is from RNAcentral. Lineage: Archaea; Thermoproteati; Thermoproteota; Thermoprotei; Desulfurococcales; Desulfurococcaceae.
CGAACCGAGGGCGGGCGGGCGGGGGGGAACGUUGGGGGUGAGAGUGGUCGGGAAUCAUUGUGGGUAAAGAGCUCGUAGGCGGUUCGGCAAGUCGGAUGUGAAAUCUCCACGCUCAACGUGGAGGGGCCAUUCGAAACUGCCGUGACUUGAGUCCGGUAGGGGAGUGCGGAAUUCCCGGUGUAGCGGUGAAAUGCGCAGAUAUCGGGAGGAACACCAGUGGCGAAGGCGGCACUCUGGGCCGGCACUGACGCUGAGGAGCGAAAGCGUGGGGAGCGAACAGGAUUAGAUACCCGGGUAGUC